This 497-nucleotide ribosomal RNA is filed under the name uncultured bacterium. Its description in RNAcentral is "partial 16S ribosomal RNA". It matches the Rfam family "Bacterial small subunit ribosomal RNA", at positions 28 to 507 of the family's 1533-position model. The record is from RNAcentral.
GACGAACGCUGGCGGCGUGCCUAAUACAUGCAAGUAGAACGCUGAAGCGAGGAGCUUGCUCUUCUUGGAUGAGUUGCGAACGGGUGAGUAACGCGUAGGUAACCUGCCUUGUAGCGGGGGAUAACUAUUGGAAACGAUAGCUAAUACCGCAUAACAAUGGAUGACACAUGUCAUUUAUUUGAAAGGGGCAAUUGCUCCACUACAAGAUGGACCUGCGUUGUAUUAGCUAGUAGGUGAGGUAAUGGCUCACCUAGGCGACGAUACAUAGCCGACCUGAGAGGGUGAUCGGCCACACUGGGACUGAGACACGGCCCAGACUCCUACGGGAGGCAGCAGUAGGGAAUCUUCGGCAAUAGGGGCAACCCUGACCGAGCAACGCCGCGUGAGUGAAGAAGGUUUUCGGAUCGUAAAGCUCUGUUGUAAGUCAAGAACGGGUGUGAGAGUGGAAAGUUCACACUGUGACGGUAGCCUACCAGAAAGGGACGGCUAACUACGUG